This 465-nucleotide ribosomal RNA is filed under the name uncultured bacterium. Its description in RNAcentral is "bacterial SSU rRNA". It matches the Rfam family "Bacterial small subunit ribosomal RNA", at positions 329 to 792 of the family's 1533-position model. The record is from RNAcentral.
UGCCAGACUCCUACGGGAGGCAGCAGUGAGGAAUAUUGGUCAAUGGCCGAGAGGCUGAACCAGCCAAGUCGCGUGAGGGAAGAAUGUCCUAAGGGUUGUAAACCUCUUUUGUCGGGGAGCAAAAAGGCUCUGCGGAGUCGUAUUGAGAGUACCCGGAGAAAAAGCAUCGGCUAACUCCGUGCCAGCAGCCGCGGUAAUACGGAGGAUGCGAGCGUUAUCCGGAUUUAUUGGGUUUAAAGGGUGCGUAGGCGGACGCUUAAGUCAGCGGUAAAAUUGCGGGGCUCAACCUCGUCGAGCCGUUGAAACUGGGUGCCUUGAGUGGGCGAGAAGUACGCGGAAUGCGUGGUGUAGCGGUGAAAUGCAUAGAUAUCACGCAGAACUCCGAUUGCGAAGGCAGCGUACCGGCGCCCAACUGACGCUGAAGCACGAAAGCGUGGGUAUCGAACAGGAUUAGAUACCCCAGUA